Molecule: ribosomal RNA, 549 nt
Filed under: uncultured bacterium
Lineage: Bacteria
Description: bacterial SSU rRNA
Rfam family: Bacterial small subunit ribosomal RNA
Source: RNAcentral
AGGGAAUCUUCGGCAAUGGACGGAAGUCUGACCGAGCAACGCCGCGUGAGUGAAGAAGGUUUUCGGAUCGUAAAGCUCUGUUGUAAGAGAAGAACGAGUGUGAGAGUGGAAAGUUCACACUGUGACGGUAUCUUACCAGAAAGGGACGGCUAACUACGUGCCUGCAGCCGCGGUAAUACGUAGGUCCCGAGCGUUGUCCGGAUUUAUUGGGCGUAAAGCGAGCGCAGGCGGUUAGAUAAGUCUGAAGUUAAAGGCUGUGGCUUAACCAUAGUACGCUUUGGAAACUGUUUAACUUGAGUGCAAGAGGGGAGAGUGGAAUUCCAUGUGUAGCGGUGAAAUGCGUAGAUAUAUGGAGGAACACCGGUGGCGAAAGCGGCUCUCUGGCUUGUAACUGACGCUGAGGCUCGAAAGCGUGGGGAGCAAACAGGAUUAGAUACCCUGGUAGUCCACGCCGUAAACGAUGAGUGCUAGGUGUUAGACCCUUUCCGGGGUUUAGUGCCGCAGCUAACGCAUUAAGCACUCCGCCUGGGGAGUACGACCGCAAGGUUG